AGUCCAGCGCUCCCUGCGCUUCCGGAAGCCUUGCUGCUCCCGCGUGCCUAGCGGGGGCUCGGCCCUAUGCCACGGGCAUCCCACCCUGCUACCAGCUGCCCUCUUGUCCGCUGGCCGGACUCUUACCCCAGCCUUCUUCAGGAAGACACGGCGCAGUCCGGCUUCCCCACGAAAGCGAAGGUCGCUGGGACCGCGGCUGGGCGUCCGGGGGCGGGGCCGCGACGCCAUUGUGACGCGCUCGGAGCAGGGCUGGGCCGAGGACCCCGGGCGCUGGAGGGCAGGCCCUAGCCACUGCUCCUGAGGCCCUGGAGGCAGCUGACGCUUGAGGCCGCUGGGCGCCGCAACGUGAGCCCAAAGGACGCCCCGCUUCAAGACUGGCGCAAGAGGAAAAAAUGAAGGUCGUUUUCUGCGGAGGAUGUUAGGAGAACGAGAACUGCGGGCCAGAGAACUGACCUAGCUUAAGGAGCGCAGGCAGCCUCUGCCGCCGGCUCUUGGGGAGACACGGAGAGGAUGGGGUCCCCGCUCCGCAUCAGGUCCUCUGACGCACCCCGGCUUUCCAGGAGGUAGGACUGGCCACAGGCCUCCUUCCCAGGGACAAAGUGCAAAGCAGAGGCUGUCAGCAGCGUGACCUUCGCUGCAGGAGAAAUACGCGUCCAGUUCGUUUUCGUCAGAGUUCUGCUACAUCAGGCCUGCCGUAUUUGCUGUACACAAAUCAGCCAACUUCCCAGGCCUGGGUGCGGAGGUAUUUGUUAAGCACAUGCACACAGUUGGAAUUAGCAGCCUCAGGGAUCAAAAGUUGUCCUUUUUUUUUUUUUUUUUUUUGGAGACGAAGUUUCGCUCUUGUUGCCCAGGCUGGAGUGCAGUGGCGCGAUCUUGGCUCACUGCAACCUCCGCCUCCCGAGUUCAAGUGAUUCUCCUACCUCAGGCUCCCGAGUAGCUGGGAUUACAGUCGUCCGCCACCACGCCCGGUUAAUUUUUUUUGUUUUUAGUAGAGAUGGGGUUUCACCAUUUUGGCCAGGCUGGUGUCGAACUCUUUUUUUUUUUUUUUUUUUUUUUUUUUGAGACGGAGUCUCGCUCUGUCACCCAGGGUGGAGUGCAGUGGCGCGAUCUCAGCUCACUGCAAGCUCCGCCUCCCAGGGUCACGCCAUUGUCUUGCCUCAGCCUCCCGAGUAGCUGGGACUACAGGCGCCCGCCACCACGCCCGGCUAAUUUUUUGUAUUUUUAGUAGAGACGGGGUUUCACCGUGUUAGCCAGGUUGGUCUUGAUCUCCUGACCUCGUGAUCCGCCCGUCUCGGCCUCCCAAAGUGCUGGGAUUACAGGCAUGAGCCACCGUGCCCGGCCUGGUGUCGAACUCUUGACCUCAGGUGAUCCACUGGCCUCGGCCUCCCAAAGUGGUAGGAUUACAGGCGUGAGCCACCGCGCCCCUGCCCAAGAGUUGUCAUUUCUGUAGCAAAGCAGCUAAGCAAUAUUCUUUUGCCUGCCACCUAAAUGUGAUUAGGUGCAGCAUCAUUAAGAAAAAAAAUAAAAAGCCCGGGCGUGGUGGCUUACGCCUGUAAUCCUAACACAUUGGGAGGCCAAGGCGGGUGGAUCACCUGAGAUCAGGAGUUUAAGAUCAGUCUGGCCUACAUGGUGAAACUCCAACUCUACUAAAAAUUCAAAAUUAGCUGGGUGUGGUGGCACAUGCCUGUGAUCCCAGUUAUUCGGGAGGCUGAGGCAGGAGAAUAGCUUGCACCCGGGAGGCAGAGGUUGCUGUGAGCCGAGAUCUCGCCAUUGCACUCCAGCCUGGGCAACAAGAGCGAGACUCUGUCCCAAAAAAAAAAAAAAAAAAAAAAAAAAGCCCUGAGACCCACGGUAGCUGGCCUGGAUUACUUGAUGAACAUAAACAGGUUCACAGAAAAUUGAUAUCAGACGAGUUCUUUCUGUGACUGAGGGAAGGAGAAAAUAAUUCCGAUCAGUGAUCUUGCCUGCAUAAAUAAAAACUGGCACUGCGCAACCACACACACAGAAGAAUAAACAUCCCUUCUUCAGCUAGCAUGAGUAAUUACUGCUUUUUCUCCAAUGACAGCUUUAGCUCCUCUCUAUUCCUCCUGCUUUCUGGAUUUAAAAAAAAUUUUUUUUUU
Molecule: long non-coding RNA, 2120 nt
Filed under: Homo sapiens (human)
Lineage: Eukaryota; Metazoa; Chordata; Mammalia; Primates; Hominidae
Description: non-protein coding lnc-HNRNPF-1:6
Source: RNAcentral